UACGUAGGGGGCAAGCGUUGUCCGGAUUUAUUGGGCGUAAAGAGCUCGUAGGUGGCUUAGUAAGUCGGGUGUGAAACCUCCAGGCUCAACCUGGAGACGCCACCCGAUACUGCUAUAGCUUGAGUCCGGUAGGGGAGCGUGGAAUUCCUGGUGUAGCGGUGAAAUGCGCAGAUAUCAGGAGGAACACCAGCGGCGAAGGCGGCGCUCUGGGCCGGUACUGACACUGAGGAGCGAAAGCGUGGGGAGCAAACAGG
This 254-nucleotide ribosomal RNA is filed under the name uncultured bacterium. RNAcentral describes it as "partial 16S ribosomal RNA". It matches the Rfam family "Bacterial small subunit ribosomal RNA", at positions 524 to 776 of the family's 1533-position model. The record is from RNAcentral.